RNAcentral lists this long non-coding RNA (1307 nucleotides) under Homo sapiens (human). RNAcentral's name for it is "HSALNT0360687". Lineage: Eukaryota; Metazoa; Chordata; Mammalia; Primates; Hominidae. The record is from RNAcentral.
CUUUGUGUUUUGUCUUUGAAAAGAACUGACUGGGAGAACCCAGCAAGGCUGGUCUGGUGUUCAGAUUCUUCCUGGCCUCUGUGCAGCCUCCUUCCUUCUGGGUAAAGGAGCAAGACCCUCUGUGGAAUGAGGUCUUAUGAACUACACUCAAGCAAGAAGUAUGUCUUAUCUGAUGGCUUCACAGUAAUCUGGUUUCCCCUAAGAAGCUAAGACUAUCUGGGCUAUUUGAGAUCCUGCAAGAUUUAUCAAGACUGUACUAGCCAUAUGAAAGCAUGUUAACACAGGGAGGGAGAGAGGAAAAGCCCUCCACAUGUUAUGACUGGCAUACAUGCUUCCAAAGCAUCGUUACUAACCGAAGGCCCAGUUCCUGAGGCGAUCACCCCAGACACACUGAAUGCAAUUUGUUGGUCACUGAGAGAACAGCACAAGAAAAACCCACCCCCAUGACUUGAUUACCUCCCACAACACGUGGGAAUCAUGGGAGCUACAAUUCAAGAAGAGAUUUGGGUGGAGACACAGCCAAACCACGUCACCAGACUGCCUCUUCAGGGAGUGAAUCACAAAUGUAUUCCUGACCACCCUGUUUUCUCCCCUCUUGAAUCAGGCUGGAGUGCAAUGGCGUGACCAUGGCUCACUGCAUCCUAGACCACCCAGGCUCAAGGGAUCCUCUGCCUCAGCCUCCUGAAUAGCUGGGACCACAGUCAUGUGCCACCACACCAGGCUACUUUUAUUUUUAUUUUUUAUAGAGAUGGGGGUCGCCUAUAUUUCCAAGGCUGGUCUCCAACGCCUGGGCUCAAAAGAUCCUCUGCCUUGGCCUCUCAAAGUGCUGGGAUUACAGGUGAGCACCACCAUGCCUGGCCUAAAAUGUUCUUUUUUUAAGAGAUAGCUGUAACAAUCUUUAACUAUUUAGCAAUCCUUUUUUGGGGGAAAGGUUGUCUCUUGUUUGUCAGCAAAUGUAGUAUGUGAGUUUACAUGUCUUUGCUUUCAUUGUAUAAUUUCAAAUAGUCAGAAAAUAUUGCAUUCACUGGCAAUCAAUUUAUUUUGAUUGAUAAAAAGGGGUUAAUAAAAACCCCCUUAGAAAUAAAAAGAAGGUGAAUAGUAAUAUAUCAGUCAUGGUGCCUUCUUUCUGCUAUGCAUAAAGAAAACAAGCUUUUUUACUUCUCCCCAAUAAGUCUUCUCCCCUUAUUUUCUACACCUAUGGAGUCAUUUAUAAUCUUUAUUAUUUCCAACCACACACUAACAUGGCAUCAGUCAUAUUUCCACAUGCUGGGGGUUUUUUUUUUUUCCUUACUAUGUUGUGAGAACUG